GGCCUGCUGGCUCAAUGGUAGAGCAUUGCUCUCCUACCUUCCCAUUCCGGAAAGGAGUACAGGCAAAGGUUGGGGGUUCGAGUCCCCCGUGGGUCG
Molecule: transfer RNA, 96 nt
Organism: Aspergillus rambellii
Lineage: Eukaryota; Fungi; Ascomycota; Eurotiomycetes; Eurotiales; Aspergillaceae
Rfam family: tRNA
About the family: Transfer RNA (tRNA) molecules are approximately 80 nucleotides in length. Their secondary structure includes four short double-helical elements and three loops (D, anti-codon, and T loops).
Source: Rfam